UACGUAGGGAGCAAGCGUUGUCCGGAAUCAUUGGGCGUAAAGCGCGCGUAGGUGGCUUCGUAAGUCCGUUGUGAAAGUCAAAGGCUCAACCUUUGAAAGCCGAUGGAUACUGUGAAGCUAGAGUACGGAAGAGGCGAGCGGAAUUCCUGGUGUAGCGGUGGAAUGCGCAGAUAUCAGGAGGAACACCAAUUGCGAAGGCAGCUCGCUGGAACGUAACUGACGCUGAGACGCGAAAGCGUGGGGAGCAAACAGG
Molecule: ribosomal RNA, 253 nt
Filed under: uncultured bacterium
Lineage: Bacteria
Description: partial 16S ribosomal RNA
Rfam family: Bacterial small subunit ribosomal RNA
Source: RNAcentral